This 241-nucleotide ribosomal RNA is filed under the name uncultured bacterium. RNAcentral's name for it is "partial 16S ribosomal RNA". It matches the Rfam family "Bacterial small subunit ribosomal RNA", at positions 333 to 566 of the family's 1533-position model. The record is from RNAcentral.
UAUCGCCUACGGGAGGCAGCAGUAGGGAAUCUUCCACAAUGGGCGAAAGCCUGAUGGAGCAACGCCGCGUGGGUGAAGAAGGGCUUCGGAUCGUAAAACCCUGUUGUUAGAGAAGAAAGUGCGUGAGAGUAACUGUUCACAUUUCGACGGUAUCUAACCAGAAAGCCACGGCUAACUACGUGCCAGCAGCCGCGGUAAUACGUAGGUGGCAAGCGUUAUCCGGAUUUAUUGGGCGUAAGGG